GAUGAACGCUGGCGGCGUGCCUAAUACAUGCAAGUCGAGCGAACAGACGAGGAGCUUGCUCCUCUGACGUUAGCGGCGGACGGGUGAGUAACACGUGGAUAACCUACCUAUAAGACUGGGAUAACUUCGGGAAACCGGAGCUAAUACCGGAUAAUAUAUUGAACCGCAUGGUUCAAUAGUGAAAGACGGUUUUGCUGUCACUUAUAGAUGGAUCCGCGCCGCAUUAGCUAGUUGGUAAGGUAACGGCUUACCAAGGCAACGAUGCGUAGCCGACCUGAGAGGGUGAUAGGCCACCCUGGAGCUGGGACACGGUCCAGACUCCUACGGGAGGCAGCAGUAGGGAAUCUUCCGCAGUGGGCGAAAGCCUGACGGAGCAACGCCGCGUGAGUGAUGAAGGUCUUCGGAUCGUAAAACUCUGUUAUGAGGGAAGAACAAAUGUGUAAGUAACUAUGCACGUCUUGACGGUACCUAAUCAGAAAGCCACGGCUAACUACGUG
Molecule: ribosomal RNA, 497 nt
Filed under: uncultured bacterium
Lineage: Bacteria
Description: partial 16S ribosomal RNA
Rfam family: Bacterial small subunit ribosomal RNA
Source: RNAcentral